GCGCCCGUAGCUUAAUGGAUAAAGUAACUGGCUUCGAACCAGUUGAUGGGGGUUCGAUUCCCUCCGGGCGCA
This 72-nucleotide transfer RNA is filed under the name bacterium. Its description in RNAcentral is "tRNA-Arg". It matches the Rfam family "tRNA". From Rfam's summary of the family: Transfer RNA (tRNA) molecules are approximately 80 nucleotides in length. Their secondary structure includes four short double-helical elements and three loops (D, anti-codon, and T loops). The record is from RNAcentral.